This 180-nucleotide unclassified non-coding RNA is filed under the name uncultured Rhizobiaceae bacterium. Its description in RNAcentral is "partial 16S-23S ribosomal RNA intergenic spacer". Lineage: Bacteria; Pseudomonadati; Pseudomonadota; Alphaproteobacteria; Hyphomicrobiales; Rhizobiaceae. The record is from RNAcentral.
ACCAUCGAAACGCAAUACGCCGCGUAGACUUCGGUCACGACGGUAUGGCGAGCUUUCGCCGUCCACGUUUCUCUUUCUUCAAGAAGACAAAGAACCGCGUCGAUCCAGUUUAGGCUGGACCGGUUUGACGAGAAUGGGCCCGUAGCUCAGUUGGUUAGAGCACACGCUGAUAAGCGUGGG